GCAGUAGGGAAUAUUGGACAAUGGGCUAAAGCCUGAUCCAGCAAUGCCGCGUGUGUGAAGAAGGCCUGAGGGUUGUAAAGCACUUUCAGUUGGGAAGAAAAGCUUUGGGUUAAUACCCUAAAGUCUUGACGUUACCAACAGAAGAAGCACCGGCUAACUCUGUGCCAGCAGCCGCGGUAAUACAGAGGGUGCGAGCGUUAAUCGGAAUUACUGGGCGUAAAGCGUGCGUAGGCUGUUAAGUCAGUCGGAUGUGAAAGCCCAAGGCUUAACCUUGGAACUGCAUUCGAUACUGCUUAGCUAGAGUACAGUAGAGGGAAGCGGAAUUCCUAGUGUAGCGGUGAAAUGCGUAGAUAUUAGGAAGAACACCAGUGGCGAAGGCGGCUUCCUGGACUGAUACUGACGCUGAGGUACGAAAGCGUGGGGAGCAAACAGGAUUAGAUACCCUGGUAGUCCACGCCCUAAACGAUGAGAACUAGAUGUUGGGGGAAAUUAAUCCCUUAGUAUCGCAGCUAACGCGAUAAGUUCUCCGCCUGGGGAGUACGACCGCAAGGUUAAAACUCAAAUGAAUUGACGGGGGCCCGCACAAGCGGUGGAGCAUGUGGUUUAAUUCGAUGCAACGCGAAGAACCUUACCUGGCCUUGACAUCCUCGGAACCUCGCAGAGAUGUGAGGGUGCCU
This 677-nucleotide ribosomal RNA is filed under the name uncultured bacterium. RNAcentral describes it as "bacterial SSU rRNA". It matches the Rfam family "Bacterial small subunit ribosomal RNA", at positions 351 to 1019 of the family's 1533-position model. The record is from RNAcentral.